RNAcentral lists this ribosomal RNA (200 nucleotides) under uncultured Sphingobacteriales bacterium. RNAcentral describes it as "partial 16S ribosomal RNA". It matches the Rfam family "Bacterial small subunit ribosomal RNA", at positions 1183 to 1382 of the family's 1533-position model. Lineage: Bacteria; Pseudomonadati; Bacteroidota; Sphingobacteriia; Sphingobacteriales. The record is from RNAcentral.
CGUCAAAUCAGCCACGGCCCUUACGUCCAGGGCUACACACGUGCUACAAUGGCCGGUACAAAGGGCAGCUACCUGGUGACAGGAUGCUAAUCUCAAAAGCCGGUCUCAGUUCGGAUCGGAGUCUGCAACCCGACUCCGUGAAGUUGGAUUCGCUAGUAAUCGCGCAUCAGAAUGUCGCGGUGAAUGCGUUCCCGGGUCUU